UACGAAGGGGGCUAGCGUUGCUCGGAAUCACUGGGCGUAAAGGGUGCGUAGGCGGGUCUUUUAAGUCAGGGGUGAAAUCCUGGAGCUCAACUCCAGAACUGCCUUUGAUACUGAGGAUCUUGAGUUCGGGAGAGGUGAGUGGAACUGCGAGUGUAGAGGUGAAAUUCGUAGAUAUUCGCAAGAACACCAGUGGCGAAGGCGGCUCACUGGCCCGAUACUGACGCUGAGGCACGAAAAGCGUGGGGGAGCAAACAGGGAUUAAG
This 263-nucleotide ribosomal RNA is filed under the name uncultured bacterium. RNAcentral's name for it is "partial 16S ribosomal RNA". It matches the Rfam family "Bacterial small subunit ribosomal RNA", at positions 524 to 782 of the family's 1533-position model. The record is from RNAcentral.